GAUGAACGCUAGCGGCAGGCUUAAUACAUGCAAGUCGAACGGGAUUCGGGGUAGCAAUACUUUGAUGAGAGUGGCGCACGGGUGCGUAACGCGUAUGCAACCUACCUUUAACAGGGGAAUAGCCCCGAGAAAUCGGGAUUAAUACUCCGUAACAUUGCGGUGUGGCAUCACACUGCACUUAAAGCUGAGGCGGUUAAAGAUGGGCAUGCGUGACAUUAGCUAGUUGGUGAGGUAACGGCUCACCAAGGCAACGAUGUCUAGGGGUCCUGAGAGGGUUAUCCCCCACACUGGUACUGAGACACGGACCAGACUCCUACGGGAGGCAGCAGUAAGGAAUAUUGGUCAAUGGGCGCAAGCCUGAACCAGCCAUGCCGCGUGCAGGAAGACGGCCCUAUGGGUUGUAAACUUCUUUUAUACGGGAAUAAAGUGCCCCACGCGUGGGGUUUUGCAUGUACCGUAUGAAUAAGGAUCGGCUAA
Molecule: ribosomal RNA, 477 nt
Filed under: uncultured bacterium
Lineage: Bacteria
Description: bacterial SSU rRNA
Rfam family: Bacterial small subunit ribosomal RNA
Source: RNAcentral